Long non-coding RNA from Apis dorsata (giant honeybee), 1179 nucleotides. RefSeq lists it as uncharacterized. The record is from RefSeq and is a predicted model, not a curated record. The transcript has 2 exons. Lineage: Eukaryota; Metazoa; Arthropoda; Insecta; Hymenoptera; Apidae.
AGAAAAAAAAGAGGCGGAAGCUCGGCGAGAAGAUGGUAGGAAUGGAAGAAUGCGAGGAGAGUCGAUGAUAGUCGAUGCUAAAAACGCCUUCUGGCUUUUAUCAGCGGGUCGCAGACAUAAUUCAAGAGGGGAUACUAUUAAAAAUGUAACCCCUCCGGGGGAGAGAGAAAGAGGGAUAGAGGGAGAGGGAGACAAUGGGUGAAGAGCGAAAAAGUGGAAUCGUCUAUUGACCCAUUUUUCAAUUGUUAUCGGUGUUUCGUGUAAGCCUUUCCGUCUGUCGAGAACGUUACCGUGCUUCUGUCAACGUUUCGGGCAGAGGAAACGAGGAAAGAAAAGAAGUGAACUUCUCCUCCUCCUCCGAUUCUUUCUUCUCUUCGCUGAUACCGCUUAAUUGGCCGAUCUGGCAAUCACCGUUGAAAAAAAAAAAAUAAAAUAAAAUAACGAGUGUGGAGGAGAAAGGGAAGAGAAUGGAAGGGAAACGCAUUUACGAAGUGUCUGGGAGAGGAAGCAAUUUCUUUAAGAGAUGGCCGGACACUCGAAUCUUGUCCGUUUUUCUAUCCACGUUGACAGAGGGUGCAAACAGCCGGAGUAAAAAGUUGACAUUCCUCUUCAACACGCGGGAAAACUGAAAUAUCUAAAGAUUGUUCGAUAUUUCGUUCCCUCGAAAAUUCUUCUUAUUUAUUCUUCUCGCCUCUAUCCAAUUCCAUCGAGAUUUUCGAUCGAAUCCUUUUCUUCCUUCUCUCCUUUUUUCUUUCUCUUUUUCCUUUCUAUAUCUCUUAGAAAUUUUUCUCAGCGUCCAGGGUAUAAUACACCCACAAUUCGCACCCUUUGUUCGAUCCGGCAAACCCCUUGCUCCAUUGGGCCAUCUUCAAUUCCACCGCCCUUGCUUGCGCGUCAUCCUUGUCCACCAUUCGUGCACCACCGAAAAGAAAGAGAUUAUGGGAUCGCGAGGAGGGUGAAAUCGAGAACAGGGCGAGGAAAAGGGCGGCAAUGCUCGCGAUGCAAUCUCGCACUACGUGGAAAACGAUACCAAGACCGUUAGACCGUUGGAAAUCUCCUCCGGGAAUCUCCGCCGCGGGACACCUGCUCCCGGAUCUCGAGGAAAAGUCCACAGGAGAAGUGGACUUUGAACGUGGUUAUGCGCGAAUAGAAAGAGAUAGCGAGAGAGAGAGAGAGAGA